RNAcentral lists this ribosomal RNA (252 nucleotides) under uncultured bacterium. Its description in RNAcentral is "partial 16S ribosomal RNA". It matches the Rfam family "Bacterial small subunit ribosomal RNA", at positions 525 to 776 of the family's 1533-position model. The record is from RNAcentral.
ACGUAGGUGGCAAGCGUUGUCCGGAAUUACUGGGUGUAAAGGGAGCGCAGGCGGAUUGGUAAGUUGGAGGUGAAAUUCAUGGGCUCAACCCAUGACCUGCCUUCAAAACUGCCAGUCUUGAGUGGUGUAGAGGUAGGCGGAAUUCCCGGUGUAGCGGUGGAAUGCGUAGAUAUCGGGAGGAACACCAGUGGCGAAGGCGGCCUACUGGGCACUAACUGACGCUGAGGCUCGAAAGCAUGGGUAGCAAACAGG